GCGUCGGUAGUGCAACGGUUAGCACAGCAUAAGCUCCCAGAAAGAAUGAGAUCUGGGUUUGAAUCCCGGCUGAUGCA
Non-coding RNA from Parelaphostrongylus tenuis, 77 nucleotides. NCBI's taxonomy places the organism in Eukaryota, Metazoa, Nematoda, Chromadorea, Rhabditida, Metastrongylidae. The record is from the annotation of a GenBank genome assembly.